UUUUUGGCACGUACUGAAUUAAMCCGGCCUUCCUUCUGGCUAACCACACUCUGUGUUGGCAAACCAGGACUUUUACUUUGAAAAAAUUAGAGUGUUCAAAGCAGGCCUUUGCUCGAAUAUAUUAGCAUGGAAUAAUAGAAUAGGACGUUAUGGUUCUAUUUUGUUGGUUUCUAGGACCAUCGUAAUGAUUAAUAGGGACGGUCGGGGGCAUCAGUAUUCAGUUGUCAGAGGUGAAAUUCUUGGAUUUACUGAAGACUAACUACUGCGAAAGCAUUUGCCAAGGACGUUUUCAUUAAUCAAGAACGAAAGUUAGGGGAUCGAAGAUGAUCAGAUACCGUCGUAGUCUUAACCAUAAACUAUGCCGACUAGGGAUCGGGUGGUGUUUCUUUUUUGACCCACUCGGCACCUUACGAGAAAUCAAAGUUUUUGGGUUCUGGGGGGAGUAUGGUCGCAAGGCUGAAACUUAAAGGAAUUGACGGAAGGGCACCACCAGGAGUGNGACUGCGGCUUAAUUUGACUCAACACGGGGAAACUCACCAGGUCCAGACACAAUAAGGAUUGACAGAUUGAGAGCUCUUUCUUGAUUUUGUGGGUGGUGGUGCAUGGCCGUUCUUAGUUGGUGGAGUGAUUUGUCUGCUUAAUUGCGAUAACGAACGAGACCUUAACCUACUAAAUAGUGAUAUUGGCUUUUGCUGAUUUUCACUUCUUAGAGGGACUAUCGGUUUCAAGCCGAUGGAAGUUUGAGGCAAUAACAGGUCUGUGAUGCCCUUAGACGUUCUGGGCCGCACGCGCGCUACACUGACGGAGCCAACGAGCUCUAUCCUUGACCGAGAGGUCCGGGUAAUCUUGUGAAACUCCGUCGUGCUGGGGAUAGAGCAUUGCAAUUAUUGCUCUUCAACGAGGAAUUCCUAGUAAGCGCAAGUCAUCAGCUUGCGUUGAUUACGUCCCUGCCCUUUGUACACACCGCCCGUCGCUAGUACCGAUUGAAUGGCUUAGUGAGGCUUCAGGAUUGGUUCAGAGAAN
RNAcentral lists this ribosomal RNA (1023 nucleotides) under Ogataea angusta. RNAcentral's name for it is "SSU rRNA". It matches the Rfam family "Eukaryotic small subunit ribosomal RNA", at positions 691 to 1748 of the family's 1831-position model. Lineage: Eukaryota; Fungi; Ascomycota; Pichiomycetes; Pichiales; Pichiaceae. The record is from RNAcentral.